This 66-nucleotide transfer RNA is filed under the name Meloimorpha japonica. Its description in RNAcentral is "tRNA-Leu". Lineage: Eukaryota; Metazoa; Arthropoda; Insecta; Orthoptera; Phalangopsidae. The record is from RNAcentral.
ACUAUGUUGGCAGAUAAGUGCAAUGAAUUUAGAAUUCAUGAAUAUAAUAUCAUAUUAUACUUAGUA